This 510-nucleotide ribosomal RNA is filed under the name uncultured bacterium. RNAcentral describes it as "partial 16S ribosomal RNA". It matches the Rfam family "Bacterial small subunit ribosomal RNA", at positions 28 to 507 of the family's 1533-position model. The record is from RNAcentral.
GACGAACGCUGGCGGCGUGCUUAACACAUGCAAGUCGAACGAAGAGCGAUGGAAGCUUGCUUCUAUCAAUCUUAGUGGCGAACGGGUGAGUAACGCGUAAUCAACCUGCCCUUCAGAGGGGGACAACAGUUGGAAACGACUGCUAAUACCGCAUACGAUCUAACCUCGGCAUCGAGGAAAGAUGAAAGGUGGCCUCUAUGUAUAAGCUAUCACUGAAGGAGGGGAUUGCGUCUGAUUAGCUAGUUGGAGGGGUAACGGCCCACCAAGGCGAUGAUCAGUAGCCGGUCUGAGAGGAUGAACGGCCACAUUGGGACUGAGACACGGCCCAGACUCCUACGGGAGGCAGCAGUGGGGAAUCUUCCGCAAUGGACGAAAGUCUGACGGAGCAACGCCGCGUGAGUGAUGACGGCCUUCGGGUUGUAAAGCUCUGUUAAUCGGGACGAAAGGCCUUCUUGCGAAUAGUUAGGAGGAUUGACGGUACCGGAAUAGAAAGCCACGGCUAACUACGUG